This 425-nucleotide ribosomal RNA is filed under the name uncultured Afipia sp. RNAcentral describes it as "bacterial SSU rRNA". It matches the Rfam family "Bacterial small subunit ribosomal RNA", at positions 29 to 497 of the family's 1533-position model. Lineage: Bacteria; Pseudomonadati; Pseudomonadota; Alphaproteobacteria; Hyphomicrobiales; Nitrobacteraceae. The record is from RNAcentral.
AGCGAACGCUGGCGGCAGGCUUAACACAUGCAAGUCGAGCGGGCGUAGCAAUACGUCAGCGGCAGACGGGUGAGUAACGCGUGGGAACAUACCUUUUGGUUCGGAACAACACAGGGAAACUUGUGCUAACACCGAAUAAGCCCUUACGGGGAGAGAUUUAUCGCCGAAAGAUUGGCCCGCGUCUGAUUAGCUUGUUGGUGAGGUAACGGCUCACCAAGACGACGAUCAGUAGCUGGCCUGAGAGGAUGAUCAGCCACAUUGGGACUGAGACACGGCCCAAACUCCUACGGGAGGCAGCAGUGGGGAAUAUUGGACAAUGGGCGCAAGCCUGAUCCAGCCAUGCCGCGUGAGUGAUGAAGGCCCUAGGGUUGUAAAGCUCUUUUGUGCGGGAAGAUAAUGACGGUACCGCAAGAAUAAGCCCCGGC